Molecule: non-coding RNA, 4284 nt
Organism: Meleagris gallopavo (turkey)
Lineage: Eukaryota; Metazoa; Chordata; Aves; Galliformes; Phasianidae
Source: RefSeq, a predicted model, not a curated record
ACUUGAGCCACCUCCCCUGGAUCUGCUAUGGCUUAAGAGUUUUUGUCUUUAUUUUUAUUAUUUUGUGACUUAUCCUAGCAGUAGCCAGAGUGGGGCUGCUCUGUGGGGGUGUAAUGUAGUGGAGAGCUUCAGGUGGAGUGUUUGUCAGGUUCAACUCCAGCCAUGGUUUCCCGGUGGAGCUUGGGUUGGAUGCCAGCAUCCUCCAACUGAAGGAGGCAGUUGCGCAGCGACAGGGAGUUCCAGCUGACCAGCUGCGGGUGAUUUUUGCAGGGAGAGAGCUCAGCAACGACUUAACGCUGCAGGUUGUAUCUAAACAAGAAACUGCAAGAUCAAGAGGCUAUAGAACUCCAAGGUUUUCUGCAGGUAGUGGGAGGGUCUUCUGGGAUCAUCUCAUUUCAGACAGCUCUGUUCAUGGCAGGAAAACAGCCAGAGGACAAUUCCGUAAAUGCCACCCUUUAUCACUGCAGAGGUAAUAAAAACAGCAUCCCCAGAAGUGUUCAUUUCUGAUGGAAUUCAUUGCUGAUCUCAUCUAUUUAAGUGAAUGCAAAUGGAAGUUCGCUCUCCUGCUUCUCUGAAGGAUUGAUGCAUUGCUGACUGGUGAGCACUGCAUGAUGGGUUCAUACCUCAAGUAGCCACAGGAUUUAAUCUCCAUGUGUCUUUUAGUAUAUGUAUGCCAGUUGUAAAGUGGUCUAUGAAUUACUUAUCUCCUGACAUAAUUCAAAUCUCUCAGAAAAGCUAUUUUCCUAUUAAAAUGAAGUAUUGACUUUGUAGAUUCCUGUGGGCUAAUAAAAAAAAAAAAAUUGAAAAAAUUGCUACUGAUAAAUAAAUGGGAUAUAGAACUUGAGAGAACUUUUGGAUGGAAUAUAAAACUUAGUUUUCAUUUAUGGAAACUGUCAUGUGUUCUAUUGUUUCCAUGCAUUGGGAGAUAUGCUACCUCUACUGUAAGGUAUUUUUAGUGUGCUAUAUUGUGUUGUGUAUUUAUAGAUAAAGCUAAUCUUUCUAGCAGCAGAAAGCAGUAACAGCCCUGCAGGAUAUACACUAGCUCACAGUAAGGCCAGAAUCCACAGUUUUAAAGUUGUACUUUCUGUGUAACCUGGUGUAGGGAACCUGCUGCAUCAAAGCUUCACACCUGAUGAUCCCCGGAGGUCUCUUCCAGCCUCUAUGAUUCUGCAAUUCUGUGAUACUGUAUCAGGUACCAUCAGGCAACACUAGGUUUUCUAGUGAUAUUUACGUGAGAGAAGGCAUUGGAGUUUAAAAAAGAGAGGAUAUGAGGGAAGCAUCAACUUUCCUAGAAUGAGAAGGAGUACCUUUUAGGUUUGUCACUGGACACUUUGUGGGAGCUUAAUUCAGAUCUUUUUUAACAGUGGCAUUGGCAUGCUGGCAUUUCAAAAGAUGCUGUAUGGUAGCUGUUGAGUCACAGCCUGAACCACUGAUUGAGCACCUGGGGAAAGGCCCCUGGUCAGCCCUGGGAGCACAGGUAAAGGCAAUUCAGCUGCAUGACUGAAAGGGGUGGAGCCUGGCUGCACCUCUCAGACCUCAUUUAAGGGCUCAUUGCUAGUGGGGAAGGAUCUCUUUCUAGAGAUCCCUCCUUGGUGAAGCUUUCCCCUGUGAACUUGGAAUCUUCUGAUCCAGGUGAGCAAUCUUCUUCCCUUCCUUGAUAACUCCUUUCUAUUAUGCUGGUCCUUCUGUCAUCACACCUUUGUUGUAACGACCUUCCCAUUGUAUUGAUCAAUUGCUACAAAUGCCUAAUAAGAACGAUGCAUGAGGGCUUGGGGCUGAAGGAUUGUCGUGUCCUGUCUUCAGUAUACUAUAGAGAAGUGGCUGAAGUGUGUAUUUUGAUGUACCUGUGACUCAUUAAUCCUUACUGGACUGUAACUUUCUUAUUUCGAAGAAGACAACUUCUAUUUUAUUGACUAAAGCAUAGCUUAAAUGAAUGAUCUCUUUGGCUUUGCCAAACUGAUAAGUUGUCUGUGUUUGUCAAGGAAAGUUUGUGACAUGUAGUUAUAUUUUGGUAGAAGUUUCUUAUAAUAAUUAUGAACUCUUCUCACUGGUGUAUUUACUUUCAUGUGAUUUGAUAAUAUCAGUGUGUAUUAAUUCACUUCAGCUUUUCAUCCUGCUGGGUACGAGCUGCAAGCACUGCAAACUGCCAUUAUGAGUCUCCCAGUGAAGCUGCUUUCUUAUGCUUUUCUGUUGUUAUGCCUUUAUUACUAUUGUCAUUAAACAGGACUUAGAAUAGUAUUAUUGUGUGGGUUCUUUAUUGUGUUGUCAAGACGUAUUGAUUGUAUUAGAAAAAAGUACUCUUUCUGGUCACACUACUUAUUUAGUCCCUGUUCAGACAUUUUAUUUAUUUACUUAUUUUUGAUCAAUCCUGAAAGUGUUUGCUGUCAGGAUUUCACUCAGUACUGAGCUUAGGCUGAUAGUCAGAAGUCUCAGUGGCCAGCCUUUCAGGGACAUCCUACCUGGGGUUGAAUUAAUGUGAAUGAAUCUUGCAUUCUUUUUUUGUCAAGCUUCUCUUUAGAACUCUGGGCUACAACAUUUUGCUUUGUUCUAUGCUUUAACUCUUCUGCAAUUUAUUACACAAUAAUAAGGAGAAAAAUAAGCCAAGUGCUGCAUGUAUAACUAUGUCUAUAUUUUAAACAGAAUGUCCUGUGGAAGGACCGAAGUGCUGUGUUCUUCUCUCUUUUAUCUAGUAAUUUUCCUUUAUGGUUGAAUGGGAAAAGUUGUAUUUUACCAAGCAUUAUCUUGGGGAUAUAGUGACUAAAGCUUAAUCUCAGUUUAUUUUCAAGAAUUUGUUUUGAGGAAAAAAUAAAACAGGAAAGCAAAUGCAUGUAUUAGUGAUGAUGAUAUGCAUUAAGAUGCUUGUUUUAAGUGGUAACUGGUGUCAGAUAAUACGGCCAGAAGUUGACUCUUUCUAUGGCCUUUACUUUCAUAUUUCUGUCAGAGGUAAGUGGCAAAGUCCUCCUAUAACUCAGUUUUGAUUCAUCUGUAUGAUUAGGAUGUCUUUGAGGUUGAAAAUAAACAAAUUGCAAAGUUAAUGGAAUUUCAUGUGGAAUCAUAAAAUUACAGGUGUUGGAAGGGACUUCAAUAGAUCAAAUCCAACCCCUUGCUAAAGUAGAUUGCUAGACUAGUUUGCACAAGUAGACAUCCAGGCAGAUCUUGAAUGUCUCCAGAGGAGACUCCACAGACUCUCUGGGCAUCCUGUUCUAGUGUUCUAUCACCCUGUGUGUGUGGAAGUUCUUCCACAUUCAAGUAUGUAACUUUUUAUGUUCCAGGUUUUGGCCAUUGCUCCUUAUCCUAUUACUACACACCAUUGAAAAGAGUCUGGCCUAAUCCAAUUGCCUCUUGCACUUUAGAUAUUUAUAAACAUUGAACAGAUCCCUUCUCCAUCCUCUCCAGAUGGAGACACGGGUCUCUCAGCUUUACCUCAUAAGUGAGAUGCUCCUGGUGCUUUCUCUUUGUCACUCCCACUUUCUAUGCAUCAUUGCAAGGAUCUGGGAGACAGUGCCAAAUGCCUUGUUGAAAUCAAGGUACACAACAUCCAUUGCUUUCCCCAUGAUCUACCCAGCCAGUGAUGACAUUGUGGAAAGCUACCUUACUCAGUUUAGUGUAGAUAUAUCAGUCGCCACACCGAUGUUUUCAUUUCCAUCUCUAACAUCAUGCAGUAGAACCUGCUGGUUUCCUUCUGCAUCUCAGGACUGUCCUACUGAUGCUGACUGUGGAAUCUCAGGGUAGUUGUGUAAAAGAAUACAGAGCUAAUCUGUGCUCUGAAUUUGCAAAAUUUAACCAUCCCCUAAAUUAGCAGACUAUAUAAAUUAGAUACAAAGCGAGGAUGCAUAUAGAAAUAAGGUUUCUUCUGAGUAUCCACCUGAAGACAGGUAUGUAGGCCAGGACACAAUAGGCAGAUUGUUCUUGACAGUCAUAUUUUAACCUGAAUAAGGAAUGCACUCAUUUUCAUUCACUCUGCAGUGCAGUCUUAGAAUGCAUGAAAACAGAUUUUAUGGUUGAAAAAGGAGAUGUACCCUAACUGCUUGCUAGCAUUGAGUCUGUGGAAUCUGACUGAGGCUAGUCAGAAAACCUUUCUAAAGUGCCGAUUUUUAUGGAUGCUGCAUUCCUCACAAUCAGUUGUUUUGCUGUGCAGACUUGCUUGUGCUAGGCAGAGCUCUUUGCUGGCACAUACAUAACCAUUCCUUAGUGAGAACGACUCUUGUGAACUGUUGUGAAGAGGGACUGUUUUCUUUACCAUUUUCAAAACUGUUUUUCUCAAAAGUUUCCAGGCAAGUUCAA